Trichechus manatus latirostris (Florida manatee) is the source of this 120-nucleotide long non-coding RNA. RefSeq lists it as uncharacterized. The record is from RefSeq and is a predicted model, not a curated record. The transcript has 2 exons. Lineage: Eukaryota; Metazoa; Chordata; Mammalia; Sirenia; Trichechidae.
GGAGGUCCUGGAGUAAUGAAUACCUGAUGGGAUUAAACUCGCUCAGCAGUACUCUGGAGGUCCUGGAAUAAUGAACACCUGAUGGGAUUAAACUCCCAAGCUUUUACUUAGAGACCCUUU